GCCAGCCCGCUCAGAAACUACAAAGGAAUUGACGGGGCCCGGCACAAGCGGAGGAGCAUGUGGUUUAAUUUCGAUGAUACGCGAGGAACCUUACCUGGGCUCGAACGUAAGAUGACUGUAGGUGAAAGCUUACAUCUCUUCGGAGCAUUUUACGAGGUGCUGCAUGGUUGUCGUCAGCUCGUGCCGUGAGGUGUCGGGUUAAGUCCCAUAACGAGCGCAACCCCUACCUUUAGUUGCCAUCAGGUUAAGCUGGGGACUCUAAAGGAACUGCCUACGCAAGUAGUGAGGAAGGCGGGGAUGACGUCAAAUCAGCACGGCCCUUACGUCCAGGGCUACACACGUGCUACAAUGGCCGAUACAGAGGGCAGCUACCUGGUGACAGGAUGCAAAUCUCCAAAGUCGGUCUCAGUUCGGAUCGGAGUCUGCAACCCGACUCCGUGAAGUUGGAUUCGCUAGUAAUCGCGCAUCAGCCAUGGCGCGGUGAAUACGUUCCCGGGCCUU
Molecule: ribosomal RNA, 501 nt
Filed under: uncultured Sphingobacteriales bacterium
Lineage: Bacteria; Pseudomonadati; Bacteroidota; Sphingobacteriia; Sphingobacteriales
Description: bacterial SSU rRNA
Rfam family: Bacterial small subunit ribosomal RNA
Source: RNAcentral